GGAUGAGCCCGCGGCCUAUCAGCUUGUUGGUGGGGUAAUGGCCUACCAAGGCGACGACGGGUAGCCGGCCUGAGAGGGCGACCGGCCACACUGGGACUGAGACACGGCCCAGACUCCUACGGGGGGCAGCAGUGGGGAAUAUUGCACAAUGGGCGAAAGCCUGAUGCAGCGACGCCGCGUGAGGGAUGACGGCCUUCGGGUCGUAAACCUCUUUCAGCAGGGAAGAAGCGCAAGUGACGGUACCUGCAGAAGAAGCGCCGGCUAACUACGUGCCAGCAGCCGCGGUAAUACGUAGGGCGCAAGCGUUGUCCGGAAUUAUUGGGCGUAAAGAGCUCGUAGGCGGCUUGUCACGUCGGAUGUGAAAGCCCGGGGCUUAACCCCGGGUCUGCAUUCGAUACGGGCAGGCUAGAGUUCGGUAGGGGAGAUCGGAAUUCCUGGUGUAGCGGUGAAAUGCGCAGAUAUCAGGAGGAACGCCGGUGGCGAAGGCGGAUCUCUGGGCCGAUACUGACGCUGAGGAGCGAAAGCGUGGGGAGCGAACAGGAUUAGAUACCCUGGUAGUCCACGCCGUAAACGUUGGGAACUAGGUGUGGGCGACAUUCCACGUCGUCCGUGCCGCAGCUAACGCAUUAAGUUCCCCGC
RNAcentral lists this ribosomal RNA (639 nucleotides) under uncultured Streptomyces sp. RNAcentral describes it as "bacterial SSU rRNA". It matches the Rfam family "Bacterial small subunit ribosomal RNA", at positions 223 to 872 of the family's 1533-position model. The record is from RNAcentral. Lineage: Bacteria; Bacillati; Actinomycetota; Actinomycetes; Kitasatosporales; Streptomycetaceae.